Molecule: ribosomal RNA, 270 nt
Filed under: uncultured bacterium
Lineage: Bacteria
Description: partial 16S ribosomal RNA
Rfam family: Bacterial small subunit ribosomal RNA
Source: RNAcentral
UACGGGGGGGCAAGCGUUGUUCGGAAUUACUGGGCGUAAAGGGCUCGUAGGCGGCCAACUAAGUCGGAUGUGAAAUCCCCAGGCUCAACUUGGGAACUGCAUCCGAUACUGGAUGGCUUGAAUUCGGGAGAGGGAUGCAGAAUUCCAGGUGUAGCGGUGAAAUGCGUAGAUAUCUGGAGGAAUACCGGUGGCGAAGGCGGCAUCCUGGACCGACAUUGACGCUGAGGAGCGAAAAGCUAGGGGGAGCAAACGGGGGAUUAAGAAACCCUU